GGGAUUGCCCUAGUAACGGCGAGUGAAGCGGCAACAGCUCAAAUUUGAAAUCUGGCCUUCUUUGGGGGUCCGAGUUGUAAUUUGCAGAGGGCGCUUUGGCGUCGGCAGCGGUCUAAGUUCCUUGGAACAGGACGUCACAGAGGGUGAGAAUCCCGUACGUGGUCGCCUGCCUUCGCCGUGUAAAGCCCCUUCGACGAGUCGAGUUGUUUGGGAAUGCAGCUCUAAAUGGGAGGUAAAUUUCUUCUAAAGCUAAAUACUGGCCAGAGACCGAUAGCGCACAAGUAGAGUGAUCGAAAGAUGAAAAGCACUUUGGAAAGAGAGUCAAACAGCACGUGAAAUUGUUGAAAGGGAAGCGCUUGCCGCCAGACUUGCCCGUGAAGGUUCUCCUCCUCGGGCAGGCCAGCAUCAGUUUGAGCGAUCGGAUAAUGGCCUCUGUCAUGUAUCUUCCUUCGGGAUGACCUUAUAGGGGAGUCGUAGUACGGUCAGCUCGGACUGAGGUCCGCGCAUUUGCUAGGAUGCUGGCGUAAUGGCUGCAAGCGGCCCGUCUUGAAACACGGACCAAGGAGUCUAACAUCUAUGCGAGUGUUUGGGUGUCAAGCCCGAGCGCGCAAUGAAAGUGAACGGAGGUGGGAACCCUCUCUGGGGGUGCACCAUCGACCGAUCCUGAAGUCUUCGGAUGGAUUUGAGUAAGAGCAUGGCUGUUGGGACCCGAAAGAUGGUGAACUAUGCUUGAAUAGGGUGAAGCCAGAGGAAACUCUGGUGGAGGCUCGCAGCGGUUCUGACGUGCAAAUCGAUCGUCAAAUUUGGGCAUAGGGGCGAAAGACUAA
RNAcentral lists this ribosomal RNA (827 nucleotides) under Dictyocheirospora rotunda. RNAcentral describes it as "partial large subunit ribosomal RNA". It matches the Rfam family "Eukaryotic large subunit ribosomal RNA", at positions 71 to 934 of the family's 3401-position model. Lineage: Eukaryota; Fungi; Ascomycota; Dothideomycetes; Pleosporales; Dictyosporiaceae. The record is from RNAcentral.